AUUGAACGCUGGCGGCAGGCCUAACACAUGCAAGUCGAGCGGAGCGGGGGACGGGUGGGUAAUGCCUAGGUAUCUGCCUGGUAGUGGGGGAUAACGUCCGGAAACGGGCGCUAAUACCGCAUACUAUCAGAUGAGCCUAGGUGGGAUUGGCUAGUUGGUGGGGUAAAGGCUUACCAAGGUGACGAUCCGUAACUGGCCUGAGAGGAUGAUCAGUCACACUGGGACUGAGACACGGUCCAGACUCCUACGGGAGGCAGCAGUGGGGAAUAUUGGACAAUGGGCGAAAGCCUGAUCCAGCCAUGCCGCGUGUGUGAAGAAGGUCUUCGGAUUGUAAAGCACUUUAAGUUGGGAGGCGUUACCAACAGAAUAAGCACCGGCUAACUUCGUGCCAGCAGCCGCGGUAAUAC
RNAcentral lists this ribosomal RNA (407 nucleotides) under uncultured bacterium. RNAcentral describes it as "partial 16S ribosomal RNA". It matches the Rfam family "Bacterial small subunit ribosomal RNA", at positions 30 to 526 of the family's 1533-position model. The record is from RNAcentral.